GUGUUCGUUCUCGGUAUAUGGAUUUUAUUCUUUUUUAUGUUUAAUACAUUGUUUUGUAAUUCGUUAAACAGGUGAUAUAACAAUUAUAAAUAUACGCAACAUAGAUAUCGACAGCCAUAAAAACAUCUUUGCAAAAGGUUAGUGAUAGUAUAUAAGAAAUUUUUAUAGAAAAGUGGUUGACAAAGAGAAUGUAACGUCUCAAUUAUCAUUAUCAGUGGAUUCUCGUGUUUUUGUUCUCAGUAUGUGGAUUCCAUUCUUAUUUGAUGGUUGGUAGCUUAUUUUGUAUUACAUUAAACAUGUGAUACAACGACUAGAAAUGUGUAAAAAUGGAUAUACAGUUAUUAAAAUUAAUAUUUUUAUAAGUUAUAUCUUAUUUAAAGAUGCAAACAAAUGAAAAGAAUUGAUGGAUACAUCAUGUUUAUAUAAUUUAGGAUUUAAAAAAAAAGUCUGCUCAAAGUGUCAAAAUAAUAGUAUAUAUUUAGUGAAACUAAACAUUUUUCUUCUUACUACUCUUUCUGCCUAUCUUCUCUAAUCGUUUCUUUUUCUUUCUUUCUUUUAGGUCGUCCUUAAUUGGUAAUAUUAAGGUUAUCUGAUUCUAACGAUGGCGAUUGAUGAAAGAUAACAAUCAAACAUUUUGUAAUUGACAUGGAAGGUCUCAUCAACUCAGUAUAGCCAGAUAUUUUGUCGACAACAAUUGCUGAUUGAUUUAAUAUUAGUUAAGCAUAAAAUAUUACUGCACUAAAACUCAGGCACAUAGAAUAGGAAUAACGUGCAAAAGAGGAUACUGAUGUUAUUUAAAGUAAGCUUUUCUUUUAGCUGUACAAUAUCUUUUCUUUUUUUCUGCCCCAAGUUUUAUUCCUUUUCGUUUAUAUUGUUUCCUACAAAUAAGUGUUUUUUUAACAUCUCGAAUGAGUGUUAAUAGCUGG
This 926-nucleotide long non-coding RNA is filed under the name Brassica rapa (field mustard). Its description in RNAcentral is "long non-coding RNA (BRAP_LNC007986)". Lineage: Eukaryota; Viridiplantae; Streptophyta; Magnoliopsida; Brassicales; Brassicaceae. The record is from RNAcentral.